AUGAAAGAAAAUCCAUCUAUCAGUGUGACCAUUCUCUUAGCAUAUUUUAUUCUAACCAUCGGAGGAAAAGAAGUAAAGUGUAUAACACAAGAAGAAAAUACUAGUGCGAUCCCACUGAAUCAAAAACUCAAUAGGACUAUUCUGGUUCAUGGAAGAGAUGUUUACGACUGCAUCGAUGUGAAUCUACAACCAGCCUUUAGCCAUCCACUACUGAAAGACCACAAGAUCCAGAUGGAACCAAGCUCUUUCCCACUAAGUACUUCUACCAAAUCUCCAUUGAUGGAUGCCAUCCCACAAGCCCAAUUGGCCCUGAUUGAGUGCCCUACAGGAACGAUUCCAAUAUUACGCAAAAAUAGAAAGGUCCACAUGCCAGUAGAAACUAUUGGUAAAGUGAUUAGCCAGGAUGAACAUGAGGUUGCAGGAAUAGAAUAUUUUGAUGUGCUAUAUGGGACGCGGGCUAAAAUAAAUGUUUAUAAUCCUAUGGUGAAGAAUAAUAGUAAGUAUCUAAGUGCAUCAUGCAUACAAAUUAGUAAGGUACAAAAAGUAGGUGUUGCAGAUGGGAUAGGGGCCGGUUCUUGGGUGUAUCCAAGCUACAGUGGCGACAACUUUGCUAGGUUUCAUGUUGCUUGGCUUGAUGGCUUAAAGACUUGCCCUGAUCAUGAUUGUGGCGCUUUUGUGCAAGUAAGCUCAAGUGUUGGUCUAGGAGGAAGACUUAAACCAGUUUCUGUCUAUAAUGGACCACAAUACCUCAUAGAUGUUAUUAUUUUCAAGGACCCAAAGACUAAAAAUUGGUGGGUGGCUUAUGGUCCACAAAACAUACAUAUUGGAUACUGGCCAAGGGAAAUUUUCCAUUUCAUGAAGGAUCAAAAUUAUGCAUUAUGGGGUGGAUAUGUUCAAGGUCCAACAGCCUCAUCAGACUCUCCACAAAUGGGUAGUGGUCAUUUUGCUUUAGAAGGAUUUGGAAAAGCAGCAUUUGUGAGUAAUAUCCAAAUUGUAGAUAAUGAGGGCAAGUAUGUUACUCCAAAUGACAAGCAAACUGGUCUUGUCGCCACCAAUUUAUCAAAAUAUACUGCGAAGGCUCAUGGUUAUGGAUAUAGUCACUAUGGUGUGCAUACUUACUAUGGUGGACCUGGUGGUUUUGUUUGA
RNAcentral lists this ribosomal RNA (1146 nucleotides) under Triticum aestivum (bread wheat). Its description in RNAcentral is "partial small subunit ribosomal RNA". The record is from RNAcentral. Lineage: Eukaryota; Viridiplantae; Streptophyta; Magnoliopsida; Poales; Poaceae.